Molecule: ribosomal RNA, 407 nt
Filed under: uncultured bacterium
Lineage: Bacteria
Description: partial 16S ribosomal RNA
Rfam family: Bacterial small subunit ribosomal RNA
Source: RNAcentral
AUUGAACGCUGGCGGCAGGCCUAACACAUGCAAGUCGAGCGGAGCGGCGGACGGGUGAGUAAUGCAUAGGAAUCUGCCUGGUAGUGGGGGAUAACGUCCGGAAACGGGAGCUAAUACCGCAUCCUCUCAGAUGAGCCUAGGUCGGAUUGGCUAGUUGUUGGGGGAAAGGCCUACCCGGGCGACGAGCCGUAACUGGUCUGAGAGGAUGAUCAGGCACACUGGAACUGAGACACGGUCCAGACUCCUACGGUAGGCAGCAGUGGGGAAUAUUGGACAAUGGGCGAAAGCCUGAUCCAGCCAUGCCGCGUGUGUGAAGAAGGUCUUCGGAUUGUAAAGUACUUUAAGUUGGGAGGCGUUACCAACAGAAUAAGCACCGGCUAACUUCGUGCCAGCAGCCGCGGUAAUUC